RNAcentral lists this ribosomal RNA (253 nucleotides) under uncultured bacterium. RNAcentral describes it as "partial 16S ribosomal RNA". It matches the Rfam family "Bacterial small subunit ribosomal RNA", at positions 524 to 776 of the family's 1533-position model. The record is from RNAcentral.
UACGAAGGGUGCAAGCGUUGUCCGGAAUCAUUGGGCGUAAAGCGCGCGUAGGUGGCCCAGUAAGUCCGCUCUGAAAGUCAAAGGCUCAACCUUUGAAAGCGGGUGGAUACUGCUGGGCUAGAGUCCGGAAGAGGCGAGUGGAAUUCCUGGUGUAGCGGUGGAAUGCGCAGAUAUCAGGAGGAACACCAACGGCGAAGGCAGCUCGCUGGGACGGUACUGACACUAAGGCGCGAAAGCGUGGGGAGCGAACAGG